UACCCAAGUCCUACGAAGCCGCACCACUGUGAUAGUGCUGCGAAGAAGCCCGAGUGCUUAGAAGUCCACAACCGCGUGUCUGUGAAGAGGCCAGAGUGCCUACGAAGUAUUUCCUCCAAAAAGAAUAAGAACUGAACCUCCUGGUCUCCAAGUUACCAGGACCAAGAACCAUGGCCUCGUACGAAAACGAGAUGAAUUACGAACACCCCUACGAACACCCUUCCGCGGGCGAAAACCGAAACCUCGCAGAAGACAACGCUGAACUCUGUAGCUUCCUCCAGCAGCAAUCCCUGCAGAUGGCGGAGCUCCAGCGACAACUGAAUAACCUGAAUACGAAUACACCAAGAACCACGCAAGCACCAACACCCCUUAUGUACGAAAGAAGAGAACGCCUCCCUCUCCUCGACAAAUUCGCGGGAGAACUCUCGACCUACUUAGCCUGGAAAUGGAAGGCGAAAGCCAAGCUUGAAGAAGAUGGGUCUGUGAUAGGCUCUCUGCUCUCGCAAGCUCGCUAUGUUCAUAGUCGGCUAGAAGGAGAUGCUCUAGCCAAGUUCCAACCUUGGAUCGAGUCGUGCGCGCACGAGAUGUGCACCCCUGAAGAAGUCUUCCGCCAACUAGAUGUCCUGUUCUUGGACCCUACACUCCAAGCGCGCGCGAUGCAAUGGUUGAACAGGAACCGCCAGAGGAACACACCACUG
This 698-nucleotide small RNA is filed under the name Histoplasma capsulatum G186AR. Its description in RNAcentral is "hypothetical RNA". Lineage: Eukaryota; Fungi; Ascomycota; Eurotiomycetes; Onygenales; Ajellomycetaceae. The record is from RNAcentral.